Mangifera indica (mango) is the source of this 91-nucleotide small nucleolar RNA. RefSeq annotates it as small nucleolar RNA R16. The record is from RefSeq and is a predicted model, not a curated record. Lineage: Eukaryota; Viridiplantae; Streptophyta; Magnoliopsida; Sapindales; Anacardiaceae. The transcript has a single exon.
GAAGGCGAAUGAUGUGAAUAAAAAAAUCACUUAUACUACACACUGAUUUCAGUGUGAAGACAAUAAUUCUCUCAAAUAAUCUGAUGCCUUC